UUCAAGUUUAAUUCAAUUAUAGAACCUCAUGAUUCAAAGGGACUUCAGGGAUUGUCUGAUAGAAGUCUUCAUUGAAUUAUCGAAUCCUGGCCCAAGUGCACAUCAGCUGCUACUUGGCCCUUCUAAUGACAAAAAGUGCAAGAGAGAGCAUCUCAUUUGUUUCCUGAAAGUUCUGAUUGUUUAAAGUUCUAAGUACAAUCAGCCUCCUGAACAUUCCAUUGUAGUUCUUUGAUCUGGAGCCGCACAAAAGCUUCCUCUUUUACAUGUGAGCUUUACCCACUACCCUCAGCCUGGAGGAGGAUUAAAGUUGCAAGGAAUCAUGAUAAUAUCCCACUAGGAGAAAAUCAGGGCAAGCUCAUGGUUGAUCUACCUUUAUGCAAUCCAUUGAUCUACAGACAAGAAUUAAUUAUGGAACUCAACAACUUCUGUCAAAGCACUUUUCGUUUCUGGGAAUACAGCAAUAAACAAAGAAAGGUCUCCAUCCUGGAGAAGCAGAGACCCACCCCAAAUGAUAAUUUGAGGGCCUGGAGCACCCAAGUGAAGUUCAUGUUUCCUGGUUUUUCACUAGUACAAUCCAAAGGACAGUCCAUGAGCCUGUGGUUUCCAAACCUUUAGCCUCCGAUCCUGGGCUCUGCUCUGCUCUGCCUCCAAUGCCUUUCUUCCUUAGGAGGCUGCAAAUGUGUUAUAAAUAAAACCAAAUAACAGGGUGAAGCCAAGGGUCCUCUCACCCUUGGGCCUUAAAGAGCACAGUCUUCAGUGUAAAUUAAAGCUGUGUUUUACCUGUAGAUCUAUCAUCUACUUGCUGUGUGACCAUGAGCAAGUCACAGCCUCUCUGAAUUUCAGUUGUUCAUGCAGUAAAUGGAAAUAAUAUUACCCAUGGCAAAGGGUGGCUGAAAGCACUGAAUGAGC
RNAcentral lists this long non-coding RNA (909 nucleotides) under Rhinopithecus bieti (black snub-nosed monkey). Its description in RNAcentral is "lncRNA (ENSRBIG00000046453.1)". Lineage: Eukaryota; Metazoa; Chordata; Mammalia; Primates; Cercopithecidae. The record is from RNAcentral.